AUUGAACGCUGGCGGCAGGCCUAACACAUGCCAGUCGAACGGUAACAGGAAGCAGCUUGCUGCUUUGCUGACGAGUGGCGGACGGGUGAGUAAUGUCUGGGAAACUGCCUGAUGGAGGGGGAUAACUACUGGAAACGGUAGCUAAUACCGCAUAACGUCGCAAGACCAAAGAGGGGGACCUUAGGGCCUCUUGCCAUCGGAUGUGCCCAGAUGGGAUUAGCUAGUAGGUGGGGUAACGGCUCACCUAGGCGACGAUCCCUAGCUGGUCUGAGAGGAUGACCAGCCACACUGGAACUGAGACACGGUCCAGACUCCUACGGGAGGCAGCAGUGGGGAAUAUUGCACAAUGGGCGCAAGCCUGAUGCAGCCAUGCCGCGUGUAUGAAGAAGGCCUUCGGGUUGUAAAGUACUUUCAGCGGGGAGGAAGGGAGUAAAGUUAAUACCUGUGCUCAUUGACGUUACCCGCAGAAGAAGCACCGGCUAACUCCGUG
Molecule: ribosomal RNA, 490 nt
Filed under: uncultured bacterium
Lineage: Bacteria
Description: partial 16S ribosomal RNA
Rfam family: Bacterial small subunit ribosomal RNA
Source: RNAcentral